RNAcentral lists this ribosomal RNA (663 nucleotides) under uncultured fungus. RNAcentral describes it as "eukaryotic LSU rRNA". It matches the Rfam family "Eukaryotic large subunit ribosomal RNA", at positions 24 to 664 of the family's 3401-position model. Lineage: Eukaryota; Fungi. The record is from RNAcentral.
CCCGCUGAACUUAAGCAUAUCAGUAAGCGGAGGAAAAGAAACUAACUAGGAUUGCCUCAGUAGCGGCGAGUGAACAGGCAACAGCUCAAAUUGAAAAUCUGGGGCCUUCGGCCUUAGAAUUGUAAUCUAAAGAAUUUUACAGAAGGGAUGGACUUCGUGUAAGCGCCUGGAACGGUGCGGCAUAGAGGGUGAUACUCCCGUGUACAACGAAAGUCCACCCGUAUGUAAGGUUUCCAAGAGUCGGGUUGUUUGGGAAUGCAGCCCUAAAUGGGAGAUAAACUUCUUCUAAAGCUAAAUAUUUAUGGGAGACCGAUAGCGAACAAGUACUGCGAAGGAAAGAUGAAAAGAACUUUGAAAAGAGGGUGAAAAGACUUGAGAUCGUUGAAAAGGAAGCGGUUGAAGAAUAUUAUUUGGUCGUGACGUUUGUCUGGAAGGAGUCGACUUGCACGAUUCGUAGUACUUUAUUGGCUUGCUUUGUGCAACGUAACGGCUUCUUCAGCCAUUUUUGCGACUAAAAGGCAAAAUGAGGUUUAGACUGUGGGAAUCACUUCGGGAAGCGCCCCCGAUAACUCGGAAGUUCUCGGAGAAAGCCACAGCUCAAGCCUGAGGGACUGGUUAGUGAUUUUGCCAAAAUGGCUUCAACCGGCCCGUCUUGAAACACGG